UCGAGCGAGCGGAACUGUAAGAUCUACUUCGGUAGUGAAGUUUCGGAAGCGAGCGGCGGAUGGGUGAGUAACACGUGGGUAACCUGCCCUUAAGUCGGGGAUACCACUUGGAAACAGGUGCUAAUACCGGACAACAACAAGUGCUGCAUGGCACUUGCUUGAAAGGCGGCGCAAGCUGUCGCUAAAGGAUGGACCCGCGGUGCAUUAGCUAGUUGGUAAGGUAACGGCUUACCAAGGCAACGAUGCAUAGCCGAGGUGAGAGACUGAUCGGCCACAUUGGGCACUGAGACAGGACCCAACUCUAUACGGGAGGCAGCAGUAUGGAAUCUUCCACAAUGGGCGAAAGCCUGAUGGAGCAACGCCGCGUGAGUGAAGAAGGUUUUCGGAUCGUAUAGCUCUGUCGUUGGUGAAGAAGGAUAAAGGUAGUAACUGGCCUUUAUUUGACGGUAAUCAACGAGAAAGUCACGGCUAACUACGUGCCAGCAGCCGCGGUAAUACAUAUGAUGGCAAGCGUUGUCCGGAUUUAUUGGGCGCACAGCGAGCGCAGGCAGAGAAACCAGUCUGAUGUGACAACCCCUCGGCGUAACCGGAGAAUUGCAUCGGAAACUGUUUUUCUUGAAUGCAGAACAGGAGAGUAGGAACUCCAUGUGUAGCGAUGGAAUGCGUAGAUAUAUGGAGGAGCACCAUAGUGCAAAGGCGCUCGACUCUGGUCUGUAACUGACGACUGAAGAUCCAAAGCAUCGCGCAGCGAGACAGGACAUAGAUCCCUGCAGUCCAUCCGUACAACGAAGAGUCGCCAAGUCUCGUGAGCUUCAGCCUAAAAGUGUGCAGCGAACGCAUUAUCAGCAAUCCGACUGGGGAGUACGACCGCAAGAUUGAAACUCAAAGGAAUUGACGGGGGCCCGCACAAGCGGAGGAGCAUGUGGACUAAUUCGAUAGCAACGCGACAGAACCUUACCAGGACCGGACAUCUAGCGCAAUACGUACAGAUAAGGAGGUUCCCUUCAGGCACGCUAACACAGGUGGUGCAUGGCUGACGUCAGCACGUGUCGAAACAUGUUAGGUUAAGGCGCCGCAACGAGCGCAACCCUUGUCAUUAGUUGCCAGCAUUAAGUUGGGCACUCUAAUGAGACUGCCGGUGACAAACCGGAGGAAGGUGGGGACGACGUCAAGUCAUCAUGCCCCUUAUGACCUGGGCUACACACGUGCUACAAUGGGCAGUACAACGAGAAGCAAGCCUGCGAAGGCAAGCGAAUCUCUGAAAGCUGUUCUCAGUUCGGACUGCAGUCUGCAACUCGACUGCACGAAGCUGGAAUCGCUAGUAAUCGCGGAUCAGCACGCCGCGGUGAAUACGUUCCCGGGCCUUGUACACACCGCCCGUCACACCAUGGGAGUCUGCAAUGCCCGAAGC
Molecule: ribosomal RNA, 1411 nt
Filed under: Lactobacillus amylolyticus
Lineage: Bacteria; Bacillati; Bacillota; Bacilli; Lactobacillales; Lactobacillaceae
Description: bacterial SSU rRNA
Rfam family: Bacterial small subunit ribosomal RNA
Source: RNAcentral